RNAcentral lists this long non-coding RNA (1023 nucleotides) under Salmo salar (Atlantic salmon). RNAcentral's name for it is "lncRNA (ENSSSAG00000093710.1)". The record is from RNAcentral. Lineage: Eukaryota; Metazoa; Chordata; Actinopteri; Salmoniformes; Salmonidae.
CCCAAAGCCAACGCCGCCUUUCCUUCCAGUUCUCUGCUGCCAGUGCCUGGAACGAAUUGCAAAAAUUGCUGAAGCUGGAGACUUAUAUUUCCCUCACUAACUUUAAACAUCAGCUAUCUGAGCAGCUAACCGAUCGCUGCAGCUGUACAUAGUCCAUCUGUAAAUAGCCCACCCAAUCCACAGACUACAAAUGUCGGUGAUGUUUGUGUCCAGUAUGAAGGAAGUUAAAGUUAGUUGUUGGUGACCUGCAGCGAUACAGACGAAGAGUACCUGCUGUCCCGAAGGCUUCUGCCCUACGACCUUGGCUACGGUGCUAACAGUCAGAGUGAAGCAGAGACAGAUCAGACUCCAGAUCAUGUUGUAGUUGAGGGAAGCAGCACAACGGACAAAGAACCGACCAGAUUCUCCACAGAGGAGUUUCCCGUUUCAACUACCGACAAGCGUGUCCUUUACAGGAUCUAUAAAGAGGAAACCAACGAGCAGAGAACAAUCCUCAGAAUCGUAAAUGCUCUUACCACUCUGGAGGACUUCAAGAGACUAUCCCUUUGGUGUCUGAGGGUGUGAGUACAAUUCUAAUACAUGUGAUGUCUUGCUCAACAUGUGGCAGUAACUUACAGUAACUGGUAACACUAGUAUUACUGUGUUGAUUUCACAAUUUGAUGCUCACUGUCUUCUAAUUAUCUACAGUCUAUACACCAGGUUAGCCCAGCUAGUAGCAGACGCCAGGUUAGCCCAGCUAAUAGCAGACGCCAGGUUAGCCCAGCUAGUAACAGACGCCAGGUUAGCCCAGCUAAUAGCAGACGCCAGGUUAGCCCAGCUAAUAGCAGACGCCAGGUUAGCCCAGCUAGUAACAGACGCCAGGUUAGCCCAGCUAGUAGCAGACACCAGGUUAGCCCAGCUAAUAGCAGAAAUGGAGACCAAUGAUGUAAGUAUACAAAUGUAGUAAUUAAUGUUAUGUCUGUAACAGAAACAUCUCCCCUCGUACACAUUGUAUUAACAGUGUGACUUUAUUUCUCUCAAUAG